AUUGAACGCUGGCGGCAUGCUUUACACAUGCCAGUCGAACGGCAGCGCGGGCUUCGGCCUGGCGGCGAGUGGCGAACGGGUGAGUAAUGCAUCGGAACGUGCCCAGUAGUGGGGGAUAGCCCGGCGAAAGCCGGAUUAAUACCGCAUACGACCUGAGGGUGAAAGCGGGGGACCGAAAGGCCUCGCGCUAUUGGAGCGGCCGAUGUCGGAUUAGCUAGUUGGUGGGGUAAAGGCUUACCAAGGCGACGAUCCGUAGCUGGUCUGAGAGGACGACCAGCCACACUGGGACUGAGACACGGCCCAGACUCCUACGGGAGGCAGCAGUGGGGAAUUUUGGACAAUGGGGGCAACCCUGAUCCAGCCAUGCCGCGUGCGGGAAGAAGGCCUUCGGGUUGUAAACCGCUUUUGUUCGGGAAGAAAUCCUCCGGGCUAAUACCCCGGGGGGAUGACGGUACCGGAAGAAUAAGCACCGGCUAACUACGUG
Molecule: ribosomal RNA, 484 nt
Filed under: uncultured bacterium
Lineage: Bacteria
Description: partial 16S ribosomal RNA
Rfam family: Bacterial small subunit ribosomal RNA
Source: RNAcentral